CUCACUGUGUCGUCAUGUGACCACAGAGAGAGAGCAAGUCUGUUCUUAUGAAGACACCAAUCCUAUCAGAUUAGGGCCCCACCCUUAUGAUCUCAGUUAACCUUAAUUACUUCUAUAAAGGCCAGGUCUCCAAAUACAGUCACACGGGGAGCUAGGGCUUCAACCUAUGGCUUUUGGGGGAUACAGUUCAGUCCAUAGCAGUGGGGAAAGGAUGUGACUCAGUCUAGAGAGACUCAAGGAGGGAAUGCUUAGAUAGGAGCAUGGAGGGCGUGCCUGGUGAAGGGAACAGUAUGGCACAGCUUCAGAGGCAAGGGUGAGCCAGCAGCAAGGGGCUGGCUAUGGCCGGUACAAAAAGCAUGUGCUCGUGGGAAAUAGGCACCAAAGAAGGCCCAGAGAGGUUUAACAACUUCCUCAGAAUCACACAGCUUCCAAAUGGUUGGGUUGGGUUUACAUUUAGGCGGUCUUGCUCCAGAGCCAGUGCUCCUAACCUUUGCAAGCCACGAACCUCAAGAAAGUGGAGAAGGAAACGCUGGGAAAUCUGGAAGUCAGACAUGAGAGCUAAUGCUGGCAGCUGUUGGGAUGUCCUCUUCCAGGAAUGGUGAUGAGUUUCCCUGGAUCCAGCCCUGGCUUGGCUGAGGUUUUUCUCACUGUAAGAAGAGGACAAUAGCCUAUGAUCUACAGUGCCCAUUCCAACUCAGAGAAUCUUUACAUCUGGAGAUCUAUAGCAGGGCUAUCCCUAGUGACAUGCGUGAAGAAGCUUGGAAAUGGUGCUGGGUAGGAGCUGAGUGUGCAGAAUGUGGAAAGGCAUUCUAAACCAAAGGAAGAACACGAGUAAAGAUGAUGAAGCAGGGAUAAGGCUAAAAUGAAAUUUGUGAUCUGAUCCACAUACAAGCACAGUGUAGUACAGCUGGAAUAUAGAGAAGAGCUUGAAGACUUAUGAGCAACUAUCCCGGUACUCUUGGAGGCUCUGCAACCACAGUUUGAGAAACUCCGCGUUCAAAGUUAAAAACUGUCACCUGAAUAGUUAAUAACAUCAAAGAUUGUGAAAGCAAGUAUAAAUAACACAGAGAUUAAAAUAAUGAGGCAGGAUCAGAAACACUGACCUGCUGUGUAAGAAGUCCAACUGCCCUGAGGCCACCAGGCUGGAGAGACCAUGUAUGGAUAGGUUCUCUGAUCAACAGUUUCUAUCAAGCCCAGCCUUCUAGCCAUCAAGCCCAGCCUUCUAGCCAUGUCCACCAAUGUGCCUGACAUGUGAGUGAAGCCAUCACAGACCCUUCAGACCAGCCCACCUGCCAGCUGAAUACUUGUGAGUAACCUUGGUUGAUACUAUGUGGAACAGAAUCUCUCAGCCAAGCCCUGCCUGAAUUCCUGACCCACACAUUCAGGAGAUACAACGGAAUGGCCAGGUUCUAAUCCACUGAGUUUUGGGGUGGUUUAUUAUGCAGCAAUAGAUAACUAGAACACUGGACAUAAAUGGAAGAAG
This 1483-nucleotide long non-coding RNA is filed under the name Homo sapiens (human). RNAcentral's name for it is "HSALNT0317212". The record is from RNAcentral. Lineage: Eukaryota; Metazoa; Chordata; Mammalia; Primates; Hominidae.